GGAAUGAGAUUGGACGCUAUGUUUAAACCCAGGUUUUCGAGCAAUGAAUUGGAAAAACUUGAGUGCGAUUUGGGGAUCGAGAUUUGGGUUAUUACUGAAGAGAGAGGAUACAUGGGAUGCAGAGAUGCUCGGAAUUAAGUUGCGAAGGGAAGGAUGUUUUUGCCAACUUGGAUGCGCGAGAAUAGAAAGAAGCUGGGAGGAGAGAUCAGGUGGGUCAGGGUCUACCGGAAGAGGGGCGAUUGAGGAGGAGCAGAUGGGUCUUUUGAGGUGGUGACGGUGAAGGUGAAGUUGAAGUUGAAGGAGGAGGAUCAAGGACUUACCUGGGUAAAUAAUGACCUUUGAUUUUCUCAUCUUGGAGUAUCAGAGAUUGGUGAAUGCUCCAUUCAUGGAGCCACGUUCUCAGGUGUUUUGGUGCAUUUGGAUCAGAGGGAGCUAAGAAAACAGUGGAAGGAGAUGAAGAUUUUGGUCUGUGCAAAGAAACCUGG
Molecule: unclassified non-coding RNA, 485 nt
Filed under: Hevea brasiliensis (rubber tree)
Lineage: Eukaryota; Viridiplantae; Streptophyta; Magnoliopsida; Malpighiales; Euphorbiaceae
Source: RNAcentral